CACUAAGACAAGAAGAAUAAACACCUGAGGAACAAGAGUCCUCUGAGCAGCCAUGCCUGGGACAGCCACACUGAGAGCAGCCACCUGAGAUGCCAGAGUCCCCCACGCAGCCAUGCCUGGGACAGCCACACCCAGAGCGGCCACCUGAGACGCCGGAGUCCCCCACACAGCUGUCCUCAGGACAGCCACACCGAGAGCAGCCACCUGAGAUGCCGGAGUCCCCCACGCAGCCGUCCUCAGGACAGUCAUGCCAAGAGCAGCCACCUGAGACGCCAGAGUUGCCCAUGUAGCCAUGCCUGGCACAACCGUCUCAGAAACACAUGAUUAAGGGGUAACAAAACAACAAACACCAUGAGAACAAAAUGUGAACCAUGUUGUGAAGAAACAGUCAAAAACUAGAAAGGAUAGCAAGACAAAUGAAAAUAAAAGCGGACAUUUUUUCACAUUAUACUAAAGAGGUGGCCCGGGAGUGGAAACCUGUAGAUUAACAAAACCACCUUUAUUAUUACCUGAAGUCCACUUUUCUUCAACCAUGGGGCUUCCACGUCACAUAUGGACAUUUUAACAGCAAGAAAAUCACAUGUGGGGUGAAACUAAAGCCCCACACAGUGGUGUCUUCUCGAAAGCCAAAGACGAGGUUUCAUAAUUGAGCUCCAUUUCUUCUUAUUCCCUUUCUCAGUGAUAUUUCUUUUUAGUAAACAUUUUAAAGAAUGAAAC
RNAcentral lists this long non-coding RNA (717 nucleotides) under Homo sapiens (human). RNAcentral describes it as "long non-coding RNA NONHSAT181165.1". The record is from RNAcentral. Lineage: Eukaryota; Metazoa; Chordata; Mammalia; Primates; Hominidae.